GUGCUCAAAAGCACAUAUACUAAAAUCAGAACAAUACAGAGAAGAUUAGAAUGCCCUCGGCAAAGGUGACAUACACAUUUAUGAAGCAUUCUGCAUUUGU
Molecule: small nuclear RNA, 100 nt
Filed under: Cebus imitator (Panamanian white-faced capuchin)
Lineage: Eukaryota; Metazoa; Chordata; Mammalia; Primates; Cebidae
Source: RNAcentral